Molecule: ribosomal RNA, 224 nt
Filed under: uncultured bacterium
Lineage: Bacteria
Description: partial 16S ribosomal RNA
Rfam family: Bacterial small subunit ribosomal RNA
Source: RNAcentral
UACGGAGGGUGCGAGCGUUGUCCGGAAUCACUGGGCGUAAAGGGCGCGUAGGCGGCUCGACACGUCCGUUGUGAAAUCGCCCGGCUCAACUGGGCGGGGUCAGCGGAUACGGUCGAGCUUGAGCAAGCUAGGGGGCAAUGGAAUUCCCGGUGUAGUGGUGGAAUGCGCAGAUAUCAGGAGGAACACCGAUGGCGAAGGCAGCUCGCUGGGACGGUACUGACGCU